UUAAAGGUACUCCACUGAGGUACGGCCGAAUGUCACAAAAAAAGUAAAAUUUCACGAACCGAUAUUUUUUUGUUACCUGCGAGUUAGGGACAUUCAAACAGAAUCAGUGAUACAUUGAUAUGUGUUCUUUGGAUUGGCAAGUCGUUUGAAAUACAUAUUUUCUCCAAUUUUGUGGGAAAAGCGUUUAAACACCUUUCAGUUUGCAAAUCUGAAUAAAAACAACGGUCACGUGAUGAUUCUCGGGAUGACUAAAAAGCGAAACGGAGAAUUUUUUGUGUAUCGGCAGCAACGAAAGUGCGAAACCGGAAUAUACCAACAAUCCAUAAAUUUAAAAGCAAAUAAUGGGCCUCCGUACUAGUGAUGGGUCAAUUGAGCUGUGCUUUAAUGUUACCAAUAUAUUGAAAGCUUCCCGGUGGAAAAGAAAUUGAGAGCGUUAUAAGAGUAAAAAAGGAAAACUGGAAUAAAGACAAUCAAGGCGACGGCAACGUUCACAUGACGCAGCCCCCGACAUAGUCAAGCUUCCACAGCAGGGUUAUUGCCGUGACUAGUGAAAUAAACUUAAAACUGAU
Molecule: long non-coding RNA, 569 nt
Organism: Ruditapes philippinarum (Manila clam)
Lineage: Eukaryota; Metazoa; Mollusca; Bivalvia; Venerida; Veneridae
Exons: 2
Source: RefSeq, a predicted model, not a curated record